UAUUAAAAAUUUCAUCAAUUUCUAAUGUUAAAAAUCGACAUGACUAACGAAAUAACUAAACAGGUAUGCAUGGAAUGUCACGCUACCUAUUUUGACGUAUAUAGACAAAUUUUUAAUAAUGGAAAUAGAUGAAAUUUUAACA
This is a non-coding RNA of Gossypium hirsutum (cotton), 142 nucleotides long. NCBI's taxonomy places the organism in Eukaryota, Viridiplantae, Streptophyta, Magnoliopsida, Malvales, Malvaceae. The record is from Rfam.